Molecule: non-coding RNA, 837 nt
Organism: Dermacentor albipictus
Lineage: Eukaryota; Metazoa; Arthropoda; Arachnida; Ixodida; Ixodidae
Source: RefSeq, a predicted model, not a curated record
UAUAACGGAAAACACAUCUAGAAUGAGCAGUUUAGAAGGUUUACCGCAACAGUUUGUCUCACGAAAUCGCGCUCUGCGUGCUAAUCACGAUAAUUUUUACAAAGGCUAACAAUCAUUUUCCUACUCUACCCAAAGCUGACUGCUGCUUCUGUGUCUGCAACUGCAAGGAAAGCGCAGAAAAGGAGGGAAGGCUGCUUUUUUGGAUGCCGUUUCAGUUAAAAUAAACCGUCAUGAAAGGCUGCACAGUCACUGUCGUACUCUUCACUCUUACGCACGUUGCUGUAGAUGGUGGUGUCCUUACAAAUAUAUUGACCGGGUCAUCAGUGCUCCAGAGAAUUCCAAAAGUUCCAAAAGUUCCAAAAUUGCCAAAAUUGCCAAAAUUGCCAAAUAUGCCCAAAAUGCCAAAACUACCAAAACUUCCAAAAGGGGUGCGCAACGUUGGUGGAGCGGCCAAACAACAAAAGAUUGACCCGCACAUAGACCAUAAAAUUGAUGUCUUCUUGGAUUUGGCUCCCAGCCCCGAAGAAGCAGUCCAAGACACUGGAUACAACGGAACUGGCAUCUCCGGUCACCCAAGGUACAAGGAAAGUGCAGUAAUACAAGUAUGGUGUGGUAAAUGCAUCUGCAAACUUCUUGUGAUGAUAGACCAAUAUGGAGCAGAAAUGGGCUGCACUCAAGAGGUGGACAAAUUAUUUUGUACUUGCCCACCUGCAAGCUGCUAUAUGACCCAAAUUACGAAGUGUCUAGAAAAGUGGGCCGCCGGAAAGUGCAAGUAUGAAAUGUCGUUGUUCACUUGCCCCUGACUUCGCAAUAAAGGCCUCAUUAUCAAACUUCGCC